GCCGAUGUAGCUCAAUGGUAGAGCAGCUGAUUCGUAAUCAGCAGGUUGAGGGUUCGAAUCCCUCCAUCGGCU
This 72-nucleotide transfer RNA is filed under the name Candidatus Aminicenantota bacterium. RNAcentral describes it as "Candidatus Aminicenantes bacterium (hot springs metagenome) tRNA-Thr". It matches the Rfam family "tRNA". Rfam says of the family: Transfer RNA (tRNA) molecules are approximately 80 nucleotides in length. Their secondary structure includes four short double-helical elements and three loops (D, anti-codon, and T loops). Lineage: Bacteria; Candidatus Aminicenantota. The record is from RNAcentral.